GAUUAACGCUAGCGGGAGGCCUAACACAUGCAAGUCGAGGGGCAGCGCGGGUAGCAAUACUUGGCGGCGACCGGCAGACGGGUGCGCAUCGCGUGUGCAACCUGCCUUAUGCUGGAGAAUAACCCGAAGAAAUUCGGACUAAUACUCCAUAAUACUAUUUUGUGGCAUCACGGGAUAGUUAAAGAUUUAUCGGCAUAAGAUGGGCACGCGUAUCAUUAGUUAGUUGGGGAGGUAACGGCUCACCAAGACUACGAUGAUUAGGGGUUCUGAGAGGAUUCACCCCCACACCGGCACUGAGACACGGGCCGGACUCCUACGGGAGGCAGCAGUGAGGAAUAUUGGUCAAUGGGCGCGAGCCUGAACCAGCCAUCCCGCGUGCAGGAUUGACGGUCCUAUGGAUUGUAAACUGCUUUUGUUUGCGAGCAAUAGUUUGUACGUGUACGAAUUUGAGAGUAGCAAGCGAAUAAG
This 468-nucleotide ribosomal RNA is filed under the name uncultured Bacteroidales bacterium. RNAcentral describes it as "bacterial SSU rRNA". It matches the Rfam family "Bacterial small subunit ribosomal RNA", at positions 28 to 490 of the family's 1533-position model. Lineage: Bacteria; Pseudomonadati; Bacteroidota; Bacteroidia; Bacteroidales. The record is from RNAcentral.